UACGAAGGGGGCUAGCGUUGUUCGGAUUUACUGGGCGUAAAGCGCACGUAGGCGGAUCGUUAAGUCGGGGGUGAAAUCCUGGAGCUCAACUCCAGAACUGCCUUCGAUACUGGCGAUCUUGAGUCCGGAAGAGGUGAGUGGAACUCCUAGUGUAGAGGUGGAAUUCGUAGAUAUUCGCAAGAACACCAGUGGCGAAGGCGGCUCACUGGCCCGGUACUGACGCUGAGGUGCGAAAGCGUGGGGAGCAAACAGGG
RNAcentral lists this ribosomal RNA (254 nucleotides) under uncultured bacterium. RNAcentral describes it as "partial 16S ribosomal RNA". It matches the Rfam family "Bacterial small subunit ribosomal RNA", at positions 524 to 777 of the family's 1533-position model. The record is from RNAcentral.